Molecule: ribosomal RNA, 535 nt
Filed under: Macropholidus annectens
Lineage: Eukaryota; Metazoa; Chordata; Lepidosauria; Squamata; Gymnophthalmidae
Description: partial 16S ribosomal RNA
Rfam family: Bacterial large subunit ribosomal RNA
Source: RNAcentral
AACAUCGCCUUUAGCACAAAGUAUUAAAGGUAACGCCUGCCCAGUGAUAUAUUAAACGGCCGCGGGAUCCUCCACCGUGCAAAGGUAGCAUAAUCACUUGUCCCCUAAAUAGUGACUAGUAUGAACGGCCAAAUGAAGAUUUUACUGUCUCUUAUAGCCAAUCUAUGAAACUAAGCUACCAGUACAAAAACUGGUAUAUUAACAUAAGACGAAAAGACCCUGUGGAACUUCAAGCACAACCCACUAUAUGGACUCCCUGCUUUUAGUUGGGGCAACUUUGGAAAAAAACAAAACUUCCAACCAGAAUAUAGAUUUACACAUCUACAUGGUAUAACACGACCCAACACAUGUUGAUUAAAGAACCAAGCUACCCCAGGGAUAACAGCGCCAUCCCCUCUUAGAGCCCUAAUCGACGAGUGGGGUUUACGACCUCGAUGUUGGAUCAGGGCCCCCAAACAGUGCAACAGCUGUUAACGGUUUGUUUGUUCAACAAUUAAAGCCCUACGUGAUCUGAGUUAAGACCGGAGCAAUCCAG